This 459-nucleotide long non-coding RNA is filed under the name Salvia miltiorrhiza (redroot sage). RNAcentral describes it as "long non-coding RNA (SMIL_LNC011976)". The record is from RNAcentral. Lineage: Eukaryota; Viridiplantae; Streptophyta; Magnoliopsida; Lamiales; Lamiaceae.
CCGAGACCUCGGGUCAGGUCAACGAUCUCGACUCCAAGUCGAACUCGCUCUCCUCGUCGAAGGCGCUGCAGCACGCUGAGUCGCCGUGUCCGUCGGUCUCCGGAAGGUUGCAGACGACGACGGGGGUUCGCUGCUGCUCGCCGAAAAUCGUGGCCACAAUUUGGGGCCUAGGGUUUCAGGCGGCGCUGCUGCUUGAUAUAAAAGCGGCGGCGACUGAAAUUGUGGGCUCGCCUGCCGCUGCAGUCACCGAGAAUUGAGGGCGAGGCGACAGCGGUGGCCAGCCGCUGCUAUCAGCCGGACGUUUGAGAAGGCGGUGGCUGUGCGUGUGUAGGGUGAAAAAGGGAAGAUGGAGAUAGAUAGAGGGUGAGAGGUGAGAGUCGUGGGUGGCCGGAGAGGCGGCAACCUUCACCGGGGAGUGAGGAGGCACCGCCGCCAGUCUGUGUCGGCAAGUGUGUGUGU